AUUGAACGCUGGCGGCAGGCCUAACACAUGCAAGUCGAGCGGUAGCACAGGGAGCUUGCUCCUGGGUGACGAGCGGCGGACGGGUGAGUAAUGUCUGGGAAACUGCCUGAUGGAGGGGGAUAACUACUGGAAACGGUAGCUAAUACCGCAUAACGUCGCAAGACCAAAGAGGGGGACCUUCGGGCCUCUUGCCAUCAGAUGUGCCCAGAUGGGAUUAGCUAGUAGGUGGGGUAACGGCUCACCUAGGCGACGAUCCCUAGCUGGUCUGAGAGGAUGACCAGCCACACUGGAACUGAGACACGGUCCAGACUCCUACGGGAGGCAGCAGUGGGGAAUAUUGCACAAUGGGCGCAAGCCUGAUGCAGCCAUGCCGCGUGUAUGAAGAAGGCCUUCGGGUUGUAAAGUACUUUCAGCGGGGAGGAAGGCGAUAAGGUUAAUAACCUUGUCGAUUGACGUUACCCGCAGAAGAAGCACCGGCUAACUCCGUGCCAGCCGCCGCGGUAA
RNAcentral lists this ribosomal RNA (504 nucleotides) under uncultured bacterium. RNAcentral's name for it is "partial 16S ribosomal RNA". It matches the Rfam family "Bacterial small subunit ribosomal RNA", at positions 30 to 523 of the family's 1533-position model. The record is from RNAcentral.